RNAcentral lists this ribosomal RNA (440 nucleotides) under uncultured bacterium. Its description in RNAcentral is "partial 16S ribosomal RNA". It matches the Rfam family "Bacterial small subunit ribosomal RNA", at positions 338 to 795 of the family's 1533-position model. The record is from RNAcentral.
CCUACGGUUGGCAGCAGUAGGGAAUAUUGCUCAUUGGGUGCAACCCUGAAGCAGCAACGCAGCGUGGAGGAUGAAUGUUUUCGGAUUGUUAACUCCUUUUUUUAGAGAAGUUAAUUACGGUAUCUAACGAUUACUCACCGUCUAACUCCGUUCCAGCAGCCGCGGUACUACGGAGGGUGCAAGCGUUACUCGGAGUCACUGGGCGUAAAGCGCGCGUAGACGGGAUAGCAAGUCAGAUGUGAAAGCCUAUAGCUUAACCGUAGAACUGCAUUUGAAACUGUUAUUCUAGAGUAUGGGAGAGGUAGGUGGAAUUCUUGGGGGAGGGGUAAAAUCCGUAGAGAUCAAGAGGAAUACUCAUUGCGAAGGCGACCUGCUAGAACAUAACUGACGCUGAUGCGCGAAAGCGUGGGGAGCAAACAGGAUUAGAUACCCGAGUAGUC